This 447-nucleotide long non-coding RNA is filed under the name Selaginella moellendorffii. RNAcentral's name for it is "long non-coding RNA (SMOE_LNC001384)". The record is from RNAcentral. Lineage: Eukaryota; Viridiplantae; Streptophyta; Lycopodiopsida; Selaginellales; Selaginellaceae.
UCGUCUCGAUACUAAUCGACGACGCGCUUCUAGAAAAAGACGACGCAAACAACGAAGAUCAAAUGGAAGCUACUGGAUCAAACGCAAGGAAGCUGGCGUCAGUCGAGGAUCUCUCCUGGAAGUUCGCGAUAAACAAGCUCUCUCUCGCAAUGCCACAAAUCUUACCAAUGCUGGCUCUCGGGAUAACCAGGCGACUAGCAGGCUUAGAGGCAAUAGCAGACGGCACAGGCUACUCGGCAAUCAGCGAAGACGGUACCGAAGUUGCGAAGAUCUCCAGCGAUCUCGAGGCCAACAGGCUGACGGACUGGCUCGAGUGGCUUCUCGAGUGCAAAGAGAAGCGGGUCACUGUAAAGCCGGAAAUGGAGAUUUACCUCGAGAACGGUGGAGUCCAUGGCCAAAUCUCUCAAGAGCUCACCAGGGAGCUCCUGUCCACGUGCCUGAAACAAG